RNAcentral lists this ribosomal RNA (497 nucleotides) under uncultured bacterium. RNAcentral's name for it is "partial 16S ribosomal RNA". It matches the Rfam family "Bacterial small subunit ribosomal RNA", at positions 28 to 507 of the family's 1533-position model. The record is from RNAcentral.
GAUGAACGCUGGCGGCGUGCCUAAUACAUGCAAGUCGAGCGAACGGACGAGAAGCUUGCUUCUCUGAUGUUAGCGGCGGACGGGUGAGUAACACGUGGAUAACCUACCUAUAGGACUGGGAUAACUUCGGGAAACCGGAGCUAAUACCGGAUAAUAUUUUGAACCGCAUGGUUCAAAAGUGAAAGACGGUCUUGCUGUCACUUAUAGAUGGAUCCGCGCUGCAUUAGCUAGUUGGUAAGGUAACGGCUUACCAAGGCAACGAUGCAUAGCCGACCUGAGGGGGUGAUCAGCCACACUGGAACUGAGACACGGUCCAGACUCCUACGGGAGGCAGCAGUAGGGAAUCUUCGGCAAUGGGCGAAAGCCUGACGCAGCAACGCCGCGUGAGUGAUGAAGGUCUUCGGAUCGUAAAACUCUGUUAUUAGGGAAGAACAUAUGUGUAUGUAACUGUGCACAUCUUGACGGUACCUAAUCAGAAAGCCACGGCUAACUACGUG